GGGCGCGUAGCUCAGCUGGUUAGAGCGUCCGGCUCACAUCCGGGAGGUCAGAGGUUCAAGUCCUCUCGCGCCCA
This 74-nucleotide transfer RNA is filed under the name Ardenticatena maritima. RNAcentral's name for it is "filamentous thermophilic bacterium 110S tRNA". It matches the Rfam family "tRNA". From Rfam's summary of the family: Transfer RNA (tRNA) molecules are approximately 80 nucleotides in length. Their secondary structure includes four short double-helical elements and three loops (D, anti-codon, and T loops). Further hydrogen bonds mediate the characteristic L-shaped molecular structure. tRNAs have two regions of fundamental functional importance: the anti-codon, which is responsible for specific mRNA codon recognition, and the 3' end, to which the tRNAs corresponding amino acid is attached (by aminoacyl-tRNA synthetases). tRNAs cope with the degeneracy of the genetic code in two manners: having more than one tRNA (with a specific anti-codon) for a particular amino acid; and 'wobble' base-pairing, i.e. permitting non-standard base-pairing at the 3rd anti-codon position. The record is from Rfam by way of RNAcentral. Lineage: Bacteria; Bacillati; Chloroflexota; Ardenticatenia; Ardenticatenales; Ardenticatenaceae.